Molecule: microRNA precursor, 167 nt
Filed under: Pelobates cultripes (western spadefoot toad)
Lineage: Eukaryota; Metazoa; Chordata; Amphibia; Anura; Pelobatidae
Source: RNAcentral
GCAGACACAUCCCAGCCAAUCAGCAGCAGACCCUCCCUCCCAGACCCUCCCAUCUCCUGGACAGCUCACUAAGAAUGCAGCUUCACAAUGAAUGUAAAAUGGAUGCUGUCCAGGAGGUGGGAGGGUCUGGGAGGGAGGGUCUGCUUCUGAUUGGCUGGAAUGUGUCU